GCGUGGCCACGAGAGCCGUUGCACACACCCACACUCUAUUCUGGUCUGCCCGGACAAGUGGGGACGAAAGUCCGUGAACGUCAGGUUAGUCAGUGUUUGUACAGAAUAUUAACGUCAACGCUCCGCCAACAUGUAGAGAAGAAACAUUUUCAUCGUUUUGGUGGUCGUUUAACGACAUAUUGCGCGUAAACAGAGCUAAUUCAGCAGCAGUUCACCACCCUUUCUGUCCCUCUGCCUCUUAAUCAGCAACACCUGCAGCCUCACAGCAGGAGUCUGUUCCUCUUUCUGGUUUUCUUCUCUACUCAUGUUUAGGAGUUUUAGAACUUUUCUGCGUGUUUUUACAUCCAGGAUCCUGACAUCUUCAACUUCCCGAUAAGCUACCCGUCAUCUUACUCCAGAGUCACUGAAGGUUUACAAGAGCCUGGAGGGAAACAAACAUUCAACUCUGGAGUCUACCGACUAAACAUAGUGUUGUUGUCACUGGAUGGGUAAGUGUUGCAUGAGCACAACAUUAGCAUUAGUAACAGGCAGUGUAAUGUUAAUAAUUGCUAUGUUAAGGUUGCUGUGCAGACUUGUAUGCCAGUUAGACUGAGUCCAUUAUUUGCCCAGAAUUAACCCUUUGCUUGUGUUUGUUCCCAUCACUGUCUUCUUCUACUUGCUGUGCGCACGUUUCAUAGCUGUGAUUCACCUUCUUUCUGGAUUGGGGGGAUCCAGUGAAAUGCCUGUUUCUGACUGUUUUAGCAUUCCGGAGCACAAAAGCUAUCUAAAAUCUUCAGUUUUACUAUGACAAGCAAAGAGACAGGUUUUCUUAGAUAUUGCAUGAUUUAUGUGCCGUCUGCUUUGUAAGUCAAUGGAAGGAGCUGGGUUUUUCCCUGCCAGGGGGCGUGUCAGAGGCGUUACUUUGGUUGUGUGACGUCAAUGUAUAGAGCUCUGUGGAAUCAUAUUUUUAGACAUGUCUAAAAAAUCGUGAACAGAACAGACAAAUGUUUUUGUUCUCUACUCCAUAAUUCCUUAUUCCACAGAAUGUGCAAACUCUGUAUUUGCUUUACAGGGUCUUUAAAUGCGGAAAUAGUGAACCAUCUAUCCAUCCAUCCAACCACUUCGAGGGUCGUGGGGUAAGCUGGAGCCAAUCCCAACUGACACUGGGUGAGAGGAAGCGUACAUCCUGAACAGGUCACCAGCCUAUCACAGUGAUGUAAAGUGUUUGAAGAGACAAGAGCU
Molecule: long non-coding RNA, 1221 nt
Organism: Solea senegalensis (Senegalese sole)
Lineage: Eukaryota; Metazoa; Chordata; Actinopteri; Pleuronectiformes; Soleidae
Exons: 3
Source: RefSeq, a predicted model, not a curated record